GGGACUUGUACGCGUUGCGGUGCAACGAUCGCCAAAGA
This is a regulatory RNA element of Desulfosporosinus orientis DSM 765, 38 nucleotides long. It matches the Rfam family "Selenocysteine insertion sequence 4". NCBI's taxonomy places the organism in Bacteria, Bacillati, Bacillota, Clostridia, Eubacteriales, Desulfitobacteriaceae. The record is from Rfam.